RNAcentral lists this long non-coding RNA (1332 nucleotides) under Cyanistes caeruleus (blue tit). RNAcentral's name for it is "lncRNA (ENSCCEG00000015431.1)". The record is from RNAcentral. Lineage: Eukaryota; Metazoa; Chordata; Aves; Passeriformes; Paridae.
CUUUUUAGUGCAUCCAUAUAGCUUGUAUGCUAAGGCCCAAGUGCUGCACAAGUUUAUGUGGCUAUUAAAAUGUUUCUAAAUGAAUGAGAAGUAUUAAAAAAUCCCAAUACUGUGAACUAGAUUGGGAGCUUUGGAAGAAUUAGAAGCACUUUUGGCUUAAAGCGUAAGUCAACCUUCAGCUAGAGGCCUUUUUAAACAAAAGCUUGCUUUCUGUCCUUCACCUUUCAUCAUUUUAAGAGACUAACUGCAGAGCUCUGACAUAGUUGAAUUCAGAGUCCACCUUCAGAGCUGGGUCAGUACAGCUUCGGGUUUCUUCAGGUUUCCACUUUUUUAACCCUGCUGUUGAUAGUAUGAUUGUUGUUCCCACUGGUCUUUUUGAACCAGAUUUUUGGCUGGAGGCUAACUUUUUUUAUUAUGCAAAAACCAAAGCACCAGAAUUCCUGCCAGUAGUGGGGCUGGUAUAGUCCCCAUUCCAACUAAGUGUGAAUUGGACCAGCUGGAGAAAGACACCAACCCAACAGUCUGAUGGAUAAGAGAAAAAAUCCUGUUAUGGGUUCAGUGAGAUAGCACUAUUUUGUCUUUGUGCUGCAGUCUCAUACAACCCAUGUGGAAGCCUGAAGGAGGGAGCAUCCUCAGCCCCAGAGAACUGACAGUUCCAAUGGCCUCAUAGCAGAAGGCCUGAAAAAAUGGGGCUGAAUCCACAGUGUUUGGUACCACUGAUCCUGCUGGGACUGAACUCUUCAGUCUCUCUUCAGGUGCCUGAUAUUUCCCAGAUGCUCUCCAGCCCAGUGCCAUGCUCCCCUAAUAAGAAAAGUGUGGAUGAUUUAUAUCCAACGCAACUUUCUCACUUGUUUUCUUUCUCCUUUCUUGCAUGGUAAGAAUCCCCUGAGCUGGUCUCCAGGUGUUGCUGCCAUGGGAGUCCCAGAGGAUGAUGUACAGCACAUCCACCCUGAGCACUGGGCAGCUCUGCUGCAGGAAGUCAGAGAUUUUCUAGCAUGGAAUACAACAGGGCUUUUCUGCAGUUAUCAUGGAGAGAGCGUUUUCCUUGGAUGUGUGCAGCUCGUUUGUUACAAAGCGAGCCAUGCUCCAGGAAUUGAAGUUGUAACUCCUCCUCUGAAGUCUUGAUUCAACAGCAUUAAUGCCAUAAUACUGCAAGAAACAGCCAUUAUCCACCAAGCUCGAACUAGGUAAAAACCACGAAAGGAGUUUUGUCUGGAGUGGUCAAAUUUCAGUGCAAACACAGAGGGUCAACUUGUGACACUUGGCUCCUGUAUUCUGCUCGUAAGCAUCCCAGUGUAUUUGCUUUGCUCUCCCUCUCUUUUUCCUCCUCUG